UCAGAGGUCAAAGAUUCAAUUAGUAGAAUCCAGGAAAGUCAGAACAUCUAAGGAAGAGCUCAGACACAGCCCCACAGAGCCCCACUCAACAAAACAACCAGAAGUAUUUGCCCGAGAGGCAGGACUUAUAUGUCACUAGUGCUUGUAGGUCUUAUUCAGAAACCUACAGAGCACUGCUCCUAGAUGGGAUUGGAGCAAGACUGUAGGAAACAUGAAUUCCUGCAGGUGGAAUUUCCUGAGAAGGAAGACACAAUUCCAAUGGAGAUCAGAGUGAACUCAGAAAGUGGUCACAGGAGGAAACCGAAUCAGUAGAACGCCGGUGGUGCUAUGCGGUUCUUACUUCUGUGACCAGCACACAUACUUCUAUGUACUAGACUUUGUCUAGACUUAAUUCUAUGCCGGGAAACACUUCCAUUUGACUUCCUCUUUGAUGCAAGGAUACACAGUUUUAAGAAAUGCCCACUGUAUUAAUUCUCUUUACUUUUUUGUGCAGAAUAAAAAGCAAGAAUAUUAGAAUAACAAUA
Molecule: long non-coding RNA, 524 nt
Organism: Suricata suricatta (meerkat)
Lineage: Eukaryota; Metazoa; Chordata; Mammalia; Carnivora; Herpestidae
Exons: 2
Source: RefSeq, a predicted model, not a curated record